This is a non-coding RNA of Triticum urartu, 610 nucleotides long. NCBI's taxonomy places the organism in Eukaryota, Viridiplantae, Streptophyta, Magnoliopsida, Poales, Poaceae. The record is from RefSeq and is a predicted model, not a curated record.
GAAGCUCGGCAUGCCAAGAGCAUCACCCUGUAGCUAUGCGUCCUUCUCUAACAAACACUCAAAGCACUACCAUGCCGGGCUGUGGGUGCGUACGAUUUGAAUCUGCAGUAAAGACUGGUACUGCCUCAUCGACCAAGGAUCUACAGCGACGGCGGGACCAUCGACCCCAUGGAGGCAGCACCAAAACCCUAGCCGCUACUGCUCUCCCCUGAGUCCCCUCCUCAUCUCCUUCCUCGUGCGAUGCUCUGCUUCAUCUUUUCUCAAGCCUCCACCAGUCAAAUUCGACCGGGAAAAAGAAACACCUACAUACAUAUUAUCGGAUGUUCAAGCUGGAGGAUGUGGCGAUGGAAUAUGGAUCAAUGAGAUGAAGAAAGGUGUUGAUGUCAAGUACCAGAAUGAUGGAAGGAUCUUGUGGUUAUCUAGUUGCCCACCAGCAGGAUUCAAUGUAGAUGAUGUGCCUCUAGGGCAAAUUCUAGAAACGAAAGCGACCCAUUUUUGCUCUCAAACAAUGAACAUAUUUUGUUCCCUAUUUAAUAAGUUAAAUUAGUUUAUGGGAAAUUUUGAUGUGAAAAUUAUUGAAUGUGUGUUAUUAUUGUUUGGUUUUGGUUUA